CCUACGGGGGGCAGCAGUGGGGAAUAUUGCGCAAUGGGCGCAAGCCUGACGCAGCGACGCCGCGUGAGGGAUGAAGGUCUUCGGAUCGUAAACCUCUGUCAGCAGGGAAGAACGGUCACUGUGCUAAUCAGCAGUGAAUUGACGGUACCUGCAAAGGAAGCACCGGCUAACUCCGUCCCAGCAGCCGCGGUAAUACGGAGGGUGCGAGCGUUAAUCGGAAUUACUGGGCGUAAAGCGCUCGUAGGCGGGUUGUCAAGUCAAUGGUGAAAUCCCCGGGCUCAACGGGGGAACUGCCUUUGAAACUGGCAAACUUGAGUGUGUGAGAGGAUGGUGGAAUUCCAGGUGUAGGGGUGAAAUGCGUAGAUAUCUGGAGGAACAUCAGUGGCGAAGGCGACUAUCUGGCACGUAACUGACGCUGAGGAGCGAAAGCGUGGGUAGCAAACAGGAUUAGAUACCCGGGUAGUC
RNAcentral lists this ribosomal RNA (465 nucleotides) under uncultured bacterium. RNAcentral describes it as "partial 16S ribosomal RNA". It matches the Rfam family "Bacterial small subunit ribosomal RNA", at positions 338 to 795 of the family's 1533-position model. The record is from RNAcentral.